RNAcentral lists this long non-coding RNA (1746 nucleotides) under Nicotiana tabacum (common tobacco). Its description in RNAcentral is "long non-coding RNA (NTAB_LNC017317)". Lineage: Eukaryota; Viridiplantae; Streptophyta; Magnoliopsida; Solanales; Solanaceae. The record is from RNAcentral.
UUAAGCCAAACCUAACUUCAAAUAUAGAUCUUCCUGAGCGUUGACUUUUGUUCUUGAAGAAAAAAAGUAAAAUUAAUAGGAUCCACACAAUAAGAAGAUAAAUCAACAAGAUAUUCUUUUGGUAGGGAGAUAGGAUAUUACUCAACUGAAUACAUACUUAUUAGUCCAAAACUCACAUGUUAAAUUGACUUCUUUGAGAAUCAAAAUCACAAUAAUUCAUGAAAGAAUAAGAACAAUGAAAUCAAAAGAAAAACAGAAAGUGAGCAAACAGUAGUAUCAAAUUCCUAUUCAGCAAUAUUCAUAUUUCAGGAAGUGAUCAAAUAGUAGUGUCAAAUUCCUUUUUGCCAAUAUUCUUGUUAACGUCUUCAAAAAAAGCUCAAACAAGAGAACCAACUUGAGUUAAUAAUCAUUAUCUCUAAAACUCAAUAAGAAAGCUUCUAUAAAUUGCAAAUUAUAUACUAUUAUGCAGUAUACACUUCCUGUAUCAAUGGUUGGUUAUACACCCAAGUUUUCAUUACAAUGGAGAAAGACUAUUAACAAGAAUAGGAAAGAACAUCAUGGAGGAGGUUACGGCAAUGCGAGAAAAACUGGAGUCAUCCAUACAUCACUGUCAAUACAAGAAGGAUGAGAGUCCAAACUUAAAACAUGGACAUCGAGACUGCGCAGUCCUCGUUGGUGUUUAUGUCCAGAUACAGAGGUCAUCAUGGGUACAGUAAAACAAAUAGGCAAUUACAUGUACAUGACGGGUAACCAAAAGUUCUGGAACAGAACAUUUUUUUGGAAUACCAAAACUUUAAGAUGGGAAUUUGGCAAGGUACUAUAGUUUGAACACAACUGAUAGAAGUAGUGAAUGCUAUUAGCAAGGAAAUCCAAAUACAUCCAACUACUUCAACAUAAUAAGAAUUUGAUUCAUACAAUGGUUUGUCAACUUAAAGGGAAUCCAAUCAGCUACAAGAGCAAACAACAGGCCAGGACACUGAAUUUUGUGUGCGACGCCAACUGUUUUUACUCUAUUUUUGGACAACAGAGGCUCUAUCACCAAGCUAAUUGAGUAUAUUCAGGAAGAUGGAAUCUCAACAAAAAUAACAAAAGCAUGGAACCAACUCAGAUACAUGACAAUCACUACAUAAAUACAUUCGAUGUAUACUACUUGGAUAGAUCAAAUUGUACGACUAAGUUUGAGUAUCACUAACUCAAAUUUGGUUAUAGGAAAUAUGUAUUACUCUUACCCAAUGGGAUCAAAAGACUACAUACAAUUUGUAAUUUGUUUUGGUUUUUAAAAUAUACAAAUAACAACCCUAGGCACUUUGCCUAGUGGAAUUUUAAAAAAAAUUAGAGACUUUUUCAUGAGAUGGGUUUUAUCUAAAUUAAUUUUGUAGAGGCUUGUUUCAGUUCUUUCUUUCUUGGAAUUAGCAAAGUAAAGAAAACAGAGAUUGGUAUAAUAUAACUAUUUCUAAAAGCUUGAGAACUUACAAUUCUAAAAGCAAUAGAAGAGCAGCAACCAAGGAUGAAGGAAACGUAGAAAAAGAAGCAGCAAUUGACGGUAUUGGAGCAGCGGUGGUGUGGAAACUGAUUUGCUACUUAUUCCUGUAGGGUUUUCCAAGUACUAUUUUUGCUAUGUAUUCCUAUAAUUUUCCAAGUACUAUUCGAUCUUGGACUUAUGAGAAUUGGCGGAAUAUGAAGUAUAAUUUUGCUGGGAAAUUUUUUGGAAUUUUUUUUAUAAGGAAGUUUUAGGGUACGCUUGCA